CCUACGGGGGCAGCAGUGGGGAAUAUUGGACAAUGGGCGCAAGCCUGAUCCAGCCAUGCCGCGUGUGUGAUGAAGGCCUUAGGGUUGUAAAGCACUUUCACCGAUGAAGAUAAUGACGGUAGUCGGAGAAGAAGCCCCGGCUAACUUCGUGCCAGCAGCCGCGGUAAUACGAAGGGGGCUAGCGUUGUUCGGAAUCACUGGGCGUAAAGCGCACGUAGGCGGAUUGUUAAGUGAGGGGUGAAAUCCCAGGGCUCAACCCUGGAACUGCCCUUCAUACUGGCAAUCUCGAGUUCGAGAGAGGUAAGUGGAAUUCCGAGUGUAGAGGUGAAAUUCGUAGAUAUUCGGAGGAACACCAGUGGCGAAGGCGGCUUACUGGAUCGAUACUGACGCUGAGGUGCGAAAGCGUGGGGAGCAAACGAGGAUUAGACUACCCUGGUAGUCCACGCUAGUAAACUAUGAGAGCUAGCCGUCGGACAAGUACACUUGUCGGUGGCGCAGCUAACGCAUUAAGCUCUCCGCCGUGGGGAGUCGGUCGCAAGAUUAAAACUCAAAGAAGUAGUAGACGNGNGAGAGCGACGACGACGACGACGGAGGAGGAG
RNAcentral lists this ribosomal RNA (599 nucleotides) under uncultured bacterium. RNAcentral's name for it is "bacterial SSU rRNA". It matches the Rfam family "Bacterial small subunit ribosomal RNA", at positions 338 to 955 of the family's 1533-position model. The record is from RNAcentral.